GGGCCUCUAGCUCAAUUGGCAGAGCAGCGGACUUUUAAUCCGCGGGUUGUGGGUUCGAGUCCCACGGGGCCCA
Aeromicrobium sp. Root344 is the source of this 73-nucleotide transfer RNA. It matches the Rfam family "tRNA". From Rfam's summary of the family: Transfer RNA (tRNA) molecules are approximately 80 nucleotides in length. Their secondary structure includes four short double-helical elements and three loops (D, anti-codon, and T loops). The record is from Rfam. NCBI's taxonomy places the organism in Bacteria, Bacillati, Actinomycetota, Actinomycetes, Propionibacteriales, Nocardioidaceae.